RNAcentral lists this ribosomal RNA (490 nucleotides) under uncultured bacterium. Its description in RNAcentral is "partial 16S ribosomal RNA". It matches the Rfam family "Bacterial small subunit ribosomal RNA", at positions 30 to 507 of the family's 1533-position model. The record is from RNAcentral.
AUUGAACGCUGGCGGCAGGCCUAACACAUGCAAGUCGAACGGUAACAGGAAGAAGCUUGCUUCUUUGCUUACGAUUGGCGGACGGGUGUGUAAUGUCUGGGACACUGCCUGAUGGAGGGGGAUACCUACUGGAACCGUUAGCUAAUACCGCUUAACGUCGCAAGCCCAAAGAGUGGGACCUUCGGGCCUCUUGCCAUCGGUUCUGCCCAGAUGGGAUUAGCUUGUAGGUGGGGUAACGGCUCACCUAGGCGACGAUCCCUAUCGGGUCUGAGAGGAUGACCAGCCACACUGGAACGGAGACACGGUCCAGACUCCUAGGGGAGGCAGCAGUGGGGAAUAUUGGAAAAGGGGCGCAAGCCUGAUGAAGCCAUGCCGCGUGUAUGAAGAAGGCUUUCGGGUGGUAAAGUACGUUCAGAGGGGAGGAAGGGAGUAAAGUUAAUACCUUUGCUCAUUGACGUUACCCGCAGAAGAAGCAACGGCUAACUCCGUG